UGGGGAAUCUUAGGCAAUGGGGGAAACCCUGACCUAGCCAUGCCGCGUGGAGGAAGACACCCCUAUGGGGCGUAAACUCCUUUUCUGUCUGAAGAAAACCCUGUUUUGCAGGGCGUGACGGUAGGACAGGAAUAAGCACCGGCUAACUCCGUGCCAGCAGCCGCGGUAAUACGGAGGGUGCAAGCGUUGUCCGGAAUCACUGGGCGUAAAGGGUGCGCAGGUGGGACAGCAAGUCAGGGGUGAAAGCCCACGGCUCAACCGUGGAAGUGCCCUUGAAACUGCUGUUCUUGAGUCCUGGAGAGGUUGCCGGAAUUCGUGGUGUAGCGGUGAAAUGCGUAGAUAUCACGAGGAACACCAGAGGCGAAAGCGGGCAACUGGACAGGUACUGACACUGAGGCACGAGAGCGUGGGGAGCAAACA
Molecule: ribosomal RNA, 420 nt
Filed under: uncultured bacterium
Lineage: Bacteria
Description: bacterial SSU rRNA
Rfam family: Bacterial small subunit ribosomal RNA
Source: RNAcentral